UUAAGCAUAUCAAUAAGCGGAGGAAAAGAAACCAACAGGGAUUGCCCCAGUAACGGCGAGUGAAGCGGCAACAGCUCAAAUUUGAAAUCUGGCUUCGGCCCGAGUUGUAAUUUGCAGAGGAAGCUUUAGGCGCGGCACCAUCUGAGUCCCCUGGAACGGGGCGCCACAGAGGGUGAGAGCCCCGUAUAGAUGGACGCCUAGCCUGUGUAAAGCUCCUUCGACGAGUCGAGUAGUUUGGGAAUGCUGCUCUAAAUGGGAGGUAAAUUUCUUCUAAAGCUAAAUACCGGCCAGAGACCGAUAGCGCACAAGUAGAGUGAUCGAAAGAUGAAAAGCACUUUGAAAAGAGGGUUAAAUAGCACGUGAAAUUGUUGAAAGGGAAGCGCUUGUGACCAGACUUGCGCCGGGCGGAUCAUCCGGUGUUCUCACCGGUGCACUCCGCCCGGCUCAGGCCAGCAUCGGUUCUCGUGGGGGGACAAAGGUCCCGGGAACGUAGCUCCUCCGGGAGUGUUAUAGCCCGGGGCGUAAUGCCCUCGCGGGGACCGAGGACCGCGCUUCGGCAAGGAUGCUGGCGUAAUGGUCAUCAGCGACCCGUCUUGAAACACGGACCAAGGAGUCAAGGUUUUGCGCGAGUGUUUGGGUGUAAAACCCGCACGCGUAAUGAAAGUGAACGUAGGUGAGAGCUUCGGCGCAUCAUCGACCGAUCCUGAUGUUUUCGGAUGGAUUUGAGUAGGAGCGUUAAGCCUUGGACCCGAAAGAUGGUGAACUAUGCUUGGAUAGGGUGAAGCCAGAGGAAACUCUGGUGGAGGCUCGCAGCGGUUCUGACGUGCAAAUCGAUCGUCAAAUCUGAGCAUGGGGGCGAAAGACUAAUCGAACCAUCUAGUAGCUGGUUACCGCCGAA
Molecule: ribosomal RNA, 898 nt
Filed under: Chaetomium circinatum
Lineage: Eukaryota; Fungi; Ascomycota; Sordariomycetes; Sordariales; Chaetomiaceae
Description: LSU rRNA
Rfam family: Eukaryotic large subunit ribosomal RNA
Source: RNAcentral